GUGAGUUCCACCCAAAGGCUUUGCUUCUUCCAGCUGGCCCUGUCUGCUCCCCAGAGAGCCCCAGCUCCGCCCAACCUUCCCAAUCCCCCAGAAGCCGGGCUCCUCCAGGCAGGCGGCUUAACAGCCAUUCCUGAAAUCGCAUCUCACUCACUCAAGACAGGGCAUCAUGCCCCCACCCCCACCCCUACCCCUACCCCUACCCCUACCCUCACUGGCCUUGAGGAUAAGGAGCAAGUUCAAUUCCAAUUCAAACACCUGGAAACUCUGCAAGCUCUGCUCCCGCCUCCAGCCUCCCCCUUGGAGGGGCUGCAUCUGCUCCAGGGGAUUCUCUGCAAAACCUUGGGGCUUCCAUAGGCUACUUUGAUUUGAAGACAAAUCUGAGAUGAUUCCAUGAGACCAGCCACUUGCCCCACUCCACGUAGCUCAGUGACCCCAACGGAAUUUGUCCCUGAAGACCCUGCAGCUCCUGUUCUAUAUCUCAUCCAGGGCUAGCCGUCUUGGUUUCCGCUGUUGCUGUUGGCCCGAGUUGCUGGCACACGAUGGGAGCCGUGCCUUGAAAAGCAGCAGAGAUCAGAGGAAACCAAGUGGAGCUUUUGGAGCAACAGAGAAGACAGGUCUGCAGAGCAGAGGCGCUCUGAGGCCAACAGAAGGAAGGAAGAAACACGGGCUCCUCUGCCUCUGGGUCACAACCAGCUCACAAAUACCGGUUCAUUCACACACAUGCACACACUCACACACACUCAUACACGAUGGAAUCUCUUCCCUGAACCCCCACUGCCCUCCUCCUUCACCUCCUGCCCCCCCGACACACACACACACAAAGAAGCAAUCUGGUGCAGAAUAACGAUUCCAAAUUCAGAGGCUUGUGUGUAGCUUUGUUCCCACCUGAAGGAAGGACAGGGGGCAGCUAAGAAGUUACUUGGAGAACCGGACUAGGUGGUAUGGCACAAGGUCCUCGUGAGACACACACGUCAGCAGUGGUUCUUAACCCCUUUGAGCGUAUAAUUAUCACAAACGUCCCCCUGCCUGCCAAUCCUCGUCCCAGAGAAAUGUCCAGACACGUAACAUUUCUGUGCAAGAUCAGGCCCUUCUGAAGCCGAGAGCGGACCAUGGAUUACAGGUCCAGGAUCCCAGCUCUGGAGCAGUCAGUCCCCGCAAGCAGGAAGCAGAAUUGCCAAGCACACAGCCCGUCCCCCUUCAGCACUCCAGCACCCCUUGACUGGCAGGUCUCGGCAACGCAGAGCCUCCCACUGCCAUGCCCCCCACACUCACUGCGAGCUGCCCUUUUAAACUUGCGACCCCUGGCUUUUCUCAGAAA
RNAcentral lists this long non-coding RNA (1318 nucleotides) under Equus caballus (horse). RNAcentral describes it as "lncRNA (ENSECAG00000059251.1)". Lineage: Eukaryota; Metazoa; Chordata; Mammalia; Perissodactyla; Equidae. The record is from RNAcentral.